Molecule: non-coding RNA, 148 nt
Organism: Gorilla gorilla gorilla (western lowland gorilla)
Lineage: Eukaryota; Metazoa; Chordata; Mammalia; Primates; Hominidae
Rfam family: Metazoan signal recognition particle RNA
About the family: The signal recognition particle (SRP) is a universally conserved ribonucleoprotein. It is involved in the co-translational targeting of proteins to membranes. The eukaryotic SRP consists of a 300-nucleotide 7S RNA and six proteins: SRPs 72, 68, 54, 19, 14, and 9.
Source: Rfam
GUCAGGCAUGGUGGCGGGUGCCUGUAAUCCCAGCCACUUGGGAGGCUGAGGCAGAAGAAUCGCUUGAAUCCAGGAGGCUGAGGUUGCAGUGAGCUGAGACUGCGCCACUGCACUCCUGCCUAGAUAACAGAGUGAGAUCCUGUCUCAA